CCCUUAGAUGUUCUGGGCCGCACGCGCGCUACACUGGGUGCUUCAGAAUGAUUAUUAGCCUGGUCCGUCGUGGUCUAGGUAAUCACUGAAUGGCACGCCAUACCUGGGAUAGAUUAUUGCAACUAUUAAUCUUCAACGAGGAAUUCCUAGUAGGCACGAGUCAUCAGCUCGUGCCGAUUACGUCCCUGCCCUUUGUACACACCGCCCGUCGCUCCUACCGAUUGAAUGCUCAGGUGAGCCAUUCGGACUUUCAUCAUGCUGGUUUCCAGUUUUGAUGAAGGAAAGUCUUGCGAACCUUAUCAUUUAGAGGAAGGAGAAGUCGUAACA
RNAcentral lists this ribosomal RNA (327 nucleotides) under uncultured eukaryote. RNAcentral describes it as "partial 18S ribosomal RNA". It matches the Rfam family "Eukaryotic small subunit ribosomal RNA", at positions 1470 to 1796 of the family's 1831-position model. The record is from RNAcentral.